This 416-nucleotide ribosomal RNA is filed under the name uncultured bacterium. RNAcentral describes it as "bacterial SSU rRNA". It matches the Rfam family "Bacterial small subunit ribosomal RNA", at positions 64 to 508 of the family's 1533-position model. The record is from RNAcentral.
GCACGGUUGGGUUUCGGCCUGGCAGUGGCGGACGGGUGAGUAUCGCGUAGGAACGUGUCCUUGGGUGGGGGAUAACCGUGGGAAACUACGGCUAAUACCGCAUGAUGCCUGAGGGCCAAAGUUGCCAGGGAGACCUGGUGGCGCCUGAAGAGGAGCCUGCGUCUGAUUAGGUAGUUGGUGGGGUAAAGGCCUACCAAGCCUGCGAUCAGUAGCUGGUCUGAGAGGAUGAUCAGCCACAUUGGGACUGAGACACGGCCCAAACUCCUACGGGAGGCAGCAGUGGGGAAUAUUGGACAAUGGGCGCAAGCCUGAUCCAGCAAUGCCGCGUGAGUGAAGAAGGUUUUCGGAUUGUAAAGCUCUUUUGGCGGGGACGAUGAUGACGGUACCCGCAGAAUAAGCCCCGGCUAACUUCGUGC